ACUCCUACGGGAGGCAGCAGUGGGGAAUAUUGCACAAUGGGCGCAAGCCUGAUGCAGCCAUGCCGCGUGUGUGAAGAAGGCCUUCGGGUUGUAAAGCACUUUCAGUUGUGAGGAAGGUGGUGUCGUUAAUAGCGGCAUCAUUUGACGUUAGCAACAGAAGAAGCACCGGCUAACUACGUGCCAGCAGCCGCGGUAAUACGUAGGGCGCAAGCGUUAUCCGGAAUUAUUGGGCGUAAAGAGCUCGUAGGCGGUUUGUCGCGUCUGCUGUGAAAUCCCGAGGCUCAACCUCGGGUCUGCAGUGGGUACGGGCAGACUAGAGUGCGGUA
This 326-nucleotide ribosomal RNA is filed under the name uncultured bacterium. Its description in RNAcentral is "bacterial SSU rRNA". It matches the Rfam family "Bacterial small subunit ribosomal RNA", at positions 335 to 653 of the family's 1533-position model. The record is from RNAcentral.